AAAUAUGUGAAGACAGCUCAAAAUGGCCAGAAUGGGGAUGAGACAGCGGCAGCGCACAAAAACAGAAAUGAGAUGGAUGGCAUAAGAAGGAAGAAAGGAAGGAAGAAGCGA
Molecule: non-coding RNA, 111 nt
Organism: Caenorhabditis elegans
Lineage: Eukaryota; Metazoa; Nematoda; Chromadorea; Rhabditida; Rhabditidae
Source: Ensembl